UUUUGUUGUGGCCAAGUGUGGAUCCACUAAUAAGUCAGAGUGCAAUUCAUUUUUUUACAACAUAUUGCAAAAGUUUCCAUGCAGAUAAAGAAUUACAAAUAUUUAUCAAAAAAGUUGUUUGGCGUAAAAAUGCAAUUGUAAAAUUUAUUUGAAGUGCUAUGUGUGCUAGGGCGGUAACUUCACGACAAGUGAAGAAGUAAAGUUGUAGCAAGAAAAACGAACGAAAGUGUGUGCUUUGGGCGUCUGGAGUGCAGCGCGUAAUUAAAAAAAGGCCAUUGGAGCAGUGGAAGCGAUUAUAAAGCUUUAGUGCAACGCCAUUGAUACUAUCUGUAGCCCGUGGAGCAAGUGUGCAGUGUAACACAUUUUCAGAGCUU
This is a long non-coding RNA of Rhagoletis zephyria (snowberry fruit fly), 374 nucleotides long. RefSeq lists it as uncharacterized. NCBI's taxonomy places the organism in Eukaryota, Metazoa, Arthropoda, Insecta, Diptera, Tephritidae. The record is from RefSeq and is a predicted model, not a curated record.